GAUGAACGCUAGCGGCAGGCUUAACACAUGCAAGUCGAGGGGCAGCACGGGUAGCAAUACCUGGUGGCGACCGGCGCAAGGGUCGUAACGCGUGAGCAACAUGCCCUAUACAGGGGGAGUAAUCCAGGGAAACUUGGUCUAAUAUCCCAUAGUAUUUAGAGGAGGCAUCUUCUAUAAAUUAAAGCUUCGGUGGUAUAGGAUUGGCUCGCGUGACAUUAGCUAGAUGGUGAGGUAACGGCUCACCAUGGCAAUGAUGUCUAGGGGUUCUGAGAGGAAGGCCCCCCACACUGGGACUGAGACACGGCCCAGACUCCUACGGGAGGCAGCAGUGAGGAAUAUUGGACAAUGGAUGGAAAUCUGAUCCAGCCAUGCCGCGUGCAGGAAGACAGCCCUAUGGGUUGUAAACUGUCUUUUAAUGGGAGCAAUAAGGUCUACGUGUAGACUGAUGAGAGUACCAUAUGAAUAAGC
This 468-nucleotide ribosomal RNA is filed under the name uncultured bacterium. RNAcentral's name for it is "bacterial SSU rRNA". It matches the Rfam family "Bacterial small subunit ribosomal RNA", at positions 28 to 491 of the family's 1533-position model. The record is from RNAcentral.